Long non-coding RNA from Pieris napi, 333 nucleotides. RefSeq lists it as uncharacterized. The transcript is spliced from 3 exons. The record is from RefSeq and is a predicted model, not a curated record. NCBI's taxonomy places the organism in Eukaryota, Metazoa, Arthropoda, Insecta, Lepidoptera, Pieridae.
UGAAAAUAUUCUAACAUAGGACAAUCUAUAUGUAUCUUGGGAAGGCCCGUUUCCACUUUAAAAGUUUAAACCUCUAUUUCAAGAAAUAAAUGAUGUAAACCACUAAAAAAUUCUUAAUAUAAUAUCUAUAGAUGGCGAAGAAAAUGUAGGCACGAAACGACCAAUUGAUUUCUCGGCGUUGGUUACUAUCGCUCUUUUCCAAUACUCAAGAAAUUAUAUGAUGUUGACGAAACCUAGAACAUAUGCUGCUGAGAUGAACGAAGAGUCUAGUAAAUAGAUGAUCUAAGAGAUCCCCAAAUGUUCAAAAUUCCUGAUAGAAAAAUACAUUCUGCC